CUGUUGGGUCCCCUCCCCGCCCCACCGCGUCCCAGGGAACCCCGGCAGGGCACCCAGUGAGGGGGGCCCGGGCGUCCGCCCAUUCCUCACUGCUGUCCCCGCCUGUGCCCGAAACCCCCGUUCACGUUCACCGAGAAAACAGACAUAAACCCAGCCAGGCACAUCCACUAGAAUGGCUGUGAUUUCAGAAAAGCGGACGUAAGUGCUGCCGAGGAGAUGGAGGCGUUGGACCCCCUCGCGCAUUGUCGGGGCGGGUGCAGCCGCGGUGCAAAAGGACCUUCCUCAGAAAGUUGAGCACGAAGUUCCCACAGGCCCGGAAGUUCCCCUCCCGGGCGCUCCCCAGAGAGCUGAAGACUGGGCGCGUGCCGGCGGCAAAUGUUCACAGCAAAGGGCGGCCCAGUGCGCAGCUGGAACAUCAGCCCCAGGCGGUCGCUGCGACAGGGACGAGCCUGGGAAACGUGAAAAUGUCCAGAACAGGGAAUCCACAGAUAAAGAAAAGACAUCGUGGUUGCCAGAGCUCGCGGGAGGGGGCAACAGGGACCGACUGCUUAACGUGUAUGGUUCCCCUUCAGGAAUAA
This 578-nucleotide long non-coding RNA is filed under the name Homo sapiens (human). Its description in RNAcentral is "non-protein coding lnc-SAMD11-5:9". The record is from RNAcentral. Lineage: Eukaryota; Metazoa; Chordata; Mammalia; Primates; Hominidae.